GCCUGGGUGGCUCAGUUGGUUGAGCGUCUGAUUCUUGAUUUUGGCUCAGGUUAUCAUCUCAUGGUUCGUGGGAUUGAGUCCCACAUUAGGCU
Molecule: transfer RNA, 92 nt
Filed under: Felis catus (domestic cat)
Lineage: Eukaryota; Metazoa; Chordata; Mammalia; Carnivora; Felidae
Also listed under: 1 other name
Rfam family: tRNA
About the family: Transfer RNA (tRNA) molecules are approximately 80 nucleotides in length. Their secondary structure includes four short double-helical elements and three loops (D, anti-codon, and T loops).
Source: Rfam by way of RNAcentral